RNAcentral lists this ribosomal RNA (207 nucleotides) under uncultured bacterium. Its description in RNAcentral is "partial 16S ribosomal RNA". It matches the Rfam family "Bacterial small subunit ribosomal RNA", at positions 524 to 728 of the family's 1533-position model. The record is from RNAcentral.
UACGUAGGAGGCGAGCGUUGUCCGGAUUUACUGGGCGUAAAGCGCGCGCAGGCGGCAUGGCAAGUAAGGUGUGAAAUCUCCCUGCCUAACGGGGAGGGUGCAUUUUAGACUGCCAAGCUAGAGGACGGUAGAGGGGGGGUAGAAUUGCUGGGUGUAGCGGUGAAAUGCGUAGAGAUCAGCAGGAAUACCCGUGGCGAAGGCGGCCCC